Molecule: long non-coding RNA, 491 nt
Filed under: Dasypus novemcinctus (nine-banded armadillo)
Lineage: Eukaryota; Metazoa; Chordata; Mammalia; Cingulata; Dasypodidae
Description: lncRNA (ENSDNOG00000052099.1)
Source: RNAcentral
UGAAACCAGUUCACGAGGGACGCUGAGCCAGGAGUCAACAAGCAGAAGGGAGGCAGGCACCCCACCUUUCAAUGAACAGCCAGAGCAUUCUGUGCCAACCGUCCUCUUAACUGAAGGCAGCUCCAGAAAAUUGGAGAGGGGUUCCAAGCCCACCCGUGCACCUGGCUUCUGCAGGAGACCCCACCAGCCGCUGAGCCGCGGAGCACCGUGGGGCCCCUCCUUUCGGAGCGCUCCCCCCUUUCAGACUCACAGAGGUGACGCUGUGGUAGUGCGAUGAGCUACGACUGCGGCGGCCACAGCUGAGGGGACCAGGACCGUUGAUCGGAAGCACGCUGUCGAUCUUAGCUCCGCUCAGAGGCGCGCUCCAAAGUGCAUCUGGAAGAUGCUAGCCGGUCCCUGCAGGUAGGCCCAGCGCCUGGGGGGCCCGGGCGGCGGCCACAGCGCACAGCUCUGGGGCGUGUGGGGUUGUCAUCCUUCCCAUCCUCCUCCAC